Molecule: ribosomal RNA, 252 nt
Filed under: uncultured bacterium
Lineage: Bacteria
Description: partial 16S ribosomal RNA
Rfam family: Bacterial small subunit ribosomal RNA
Source: RNAcentral
UACGUAGGUGGCAAGCGUUAUCCGGAUUUAUUGGGCGUAAAGGGAACGCAGGCGGUCUUUUAAGUCUGAUGUGAAAGCCUUCGGCUUAACCGGAGUAGUGCAUGGAAACUGGGAGACUUGAGUGCAGAAGAGGAGAGUGGAACUCCAUGUGUAGCGGUGAAAUGCGUAGAUAUAUGGAAGAACACCAGUGGCGAAAGCGGCUCUCUGGUCUGUAACUGACGCUGAGGUUCGAAAGCGUGGGUAGCAAACAGG